RNAcentral lists this ribosomal RNA (404 nucleotides) under Actinomycetes bacterium. RNAcentral's name for it is "Actinobacteria bacterium partial 16S ribosomal RNA". It matches the Rfam family "Bacterial small subunit ribosomal RNA", at positions 355 to 776 of the family's 1533-position model. The record is from RNAcentral. Lineage: Bacteria; Bacillati; Actinomycetota; Actinomycetes.
UGGGGAAUAUUGGACAAUGGGCGCAAGCCUGAUCCAGCCAUGCCGCGUGAGUGAUGAAGGCCCUAGGGUUGUAAAGCUCUUUCACCGGGGAAGAUAAUGACGGGAACCGGAGAAGAAGCCCCGGAGAACUUCGUGCCAGCAGCCGCGGUAAUACGAAGGGGGCUAGCGUUGUUCGGAUUUACUGGGCGUAAAGCGCACGUAGGCGGACUUUUAAGUCAGGGGUGAAAUCCCGGGGCUCAACCCCGGAACUGCCUUUGAUACUGGAAGUCUUGAGUAUGGUAGAGGUGAGUGGAAUUCCGAGUGUAGAGGUGAAAUUCGUAGAUAUUCGGAGGAACACCAGUGGCGAAGGCGGCUCACUGGACCAUUACUGACGCUGAGGUGCGAAAGCGUGGGGAGCAAACAGG